AUGGAGAGUCGCUCGAUGAGUUUGAGGCAGUUUUGUGACCACAGUUUUCCAUGGUCGCUGAGUAGCUUGUGCUGUCUGUAUGGAGUCCUUCAUUACUCUAUUAAAGCGCUCCACACCCCCAUUUGCUUGAGGAUGAUAGACGCUUGUCCUGAUGUGUUUAAUGCCCCUUUCAGCAACAAACUCAGCAAACGCAGUGGAGGUGAACUGCGGACCAUUAUCAGUCGUAAUUUCAUAAGGAUUCCCUUCGCGGGCGAAAAUAGAAGUCAGGAAUGCAAUCGCUGUCGCCGUUGAGGCGUUUGGUGUGAAUGCGACUUCCGGCCACUUACUGAAAUAGUCAAUUAGUGUGAUGGCAAACCUGCAGUCAUAGGUUCCUUGUUCAAACGGACCAACCAAGUCGACAGCAACAUGUUGAAACGGACCCUCUGGGAAUUUGAUGGGUUGUAACGGUGCAGGUGAAGCAGCUGCUGUUCUGUCACAUGACUGGCAGGUUGUGCAUGUGGACAAUAUAUCGUGGACCAGCUCAUCCAUGUGUGGCCACCAAUAUAGGUCUCUCAGGCGUUGUUUGGUACGGACCAUGCCUUGAUGUCCUUCAUGGGCCAGGUGCACUACUUUCCCUCGCAGAGAUUUGGGAACGAUCAGCCGUGUUCCUCUAAAUAUCAGCGGUGACUCCGUUGCCAGUUCAUGUCUGACCAGGAAGUAGGGUUUGACAUCAUCUGGUAAGGGUUUGCUUACUUUCGGCCAGCCCGAGAGGAUGAUCUGUCUUAGUUUCGCUAAUUCAGGACAGUCUUCACAUUCUGCUUUGAAGUCAGCCAGUGGAAGCGCUUUUAGCUGAGGAGAAAUUUCAGCAAUCUCUGUGAUUAGGGCCUGCUCAGAGUCUUCCUUUGUGUUUGUGGUAUGCAGGGAACACGGGACAUACAGUCAGCUAUAACAUUUUGGCUUCCUGGACGGUACUCUAAGUCAUACUGGAAACACAUCAGUCUGGCUGACCAACGUGCUGUACUCAUGCCAGCUCUGUUCAUCCCCUAAGUAUGUAACAGGGUGGUGAGGGCCUGGUGAUCAGUUCUCAGAGUAAACUUGCGUCCCCAUAUGUACACCCUCCAUCUUUCGACGGUCCAUACGCUGGCGAGAGCUUCUUUUUCAAUUGUUGAAUAUUUCCUCUCGGCUGGGGACAGGGUGCGGGAACCAAAAGCAACAAACCGUUCCUCAUUGUUUGAGUUCGUCUGGGUCAGAACAGCUCCGAGACCAUAAUCUGACGCAUCCGUGGUGAUGAACGUUGCCAGAUUUGGGUUGAAGAUUGCCAGUGCUGGGCUUUUUAGUAGCAUUUCCUUCAGUUUGUUGAAGCUUUCGUUUGUUGCGUCAGUCCAUUGAAGUUCAGCCGCCUGACUUGUCCGAAGUAGCUCACGGAGUGGUUCCACCUCAGUUGCAUAGUUCGGUAGGAAUUUGCUGAACCACGAAGUCAAGCCUAAGAAGGAACGAAGGGCAGCCAUGUCCUUUGGUGCAGGAGCUUUGGCGAUGGCAGUCAGGUGGUCUGGGAUGGGGCUCAGGCCAUCCUUGGAGAUGACGUGUCCCAAGAACGGAAUAGAUGUCUGUCCAAAUGAACUUUUGUUGAAGUUGAUCUGCAGACCGAUAUCCUUCAGGCGUUGGAGGACAGCUUGCAACCGUUCAUCAUGCUCUUCUCUGGAAUGCCCAUACACUAUUAUGUCAUCCAAGUAGUUCUGUACUCCUGCCUGGCCUCUUAGGACUGUUUCCAUCAUCUUUUGGAAGGCAGAGGGGGCUGAAGCAAGUCCAAACGGGACUCGGGUAAACUGGAAGAGUCCUUCAUGGGUUAUGAAUGCUGUGAGGCUUCGGCUAUCAGGGUGAAGAGUGAGUUGGUGAUAAGCUGAACUUAAAUCAAUCUGGCUAAAAUGUGUAGCCCCAGCCAGCUGUGCAAACAAAUCUUCCAUGUGAGGAAGAAGGUAACAGUCCAUAAUCACACUCUUGUUAGGUUCACGCAGAUCCACACAAAGUCUUAAGCCUCCCUUACUUUUUCUUCCAACCGCUAGAGGACUCACCCAUUCAGCUGCAUCCACCGGUUCGAUGAUGCCUGCUUGGAGUAGCUGUUUCAAUUCAGCCGACACCUCCUCAUGUAUGCUGAGAGGUAGGCGCCGCAGUUUUUGACGAACUGGCGGUACUGUCUUGUUCACUUGGACUAUGUGGAUGAACCCUUUAACAGCUCCAAGAUGAUGGGAAGAAGAAGAAUCAAAGUUAUUCACCAUACAUGUUUGUUUACUGGCUGGUGAUCCUCUAGCAGGAUCCUCUCUUUUGUUGAUGACUUUUCCAGCAAUGAUAUCAAUGUUGAGUGCUUUAAUUAAGUCCAACCCCAGCAAAGGUGAUCCAUCUUUAACUGUGAAGAUUGAUCCUGGCACUUUUCUGUCAUUGUUUGCAACCCCCACUGAAGUUUGUAGGCAGCCAAUGACAGGCAAGUCACCUUUUGCAUAAGUGACAAGCUUAACUUUCGGUUCAAUCAAAGCACAGGGUGCAAAAUGUUCUUUGUAAAUGGCUUCUGGAAGGAUAGAUACUGAAGCCCCUGUAUCCACAAUUAACUCCAGGACCUGAGAGUGUGCCUGUGGUGUUUCAAUGUUCAUUUUGCAUGUCACCUGCUGCAGUCAUCUGUUUCUGAUCAUCCACACAUAAAACUGUAAAUUCAGGGACGAUUACUUCCCUGACCACUGCUACAGCUGAUUUACAAACUCUGGCGAAGUGUCCUUUUUUGCUGCAUUUAUCACAUUUCACUUUUGCUGCUGGACAUUUUUUAUCAUUAGCCAGGUGUUUCUCAGAUCCACAUCUGAAACAGUGACACUGUUGCACUUUAUCACUUGUCUUUUUGUGCCAUUCUUUAGAUGUAGGUCCCCGAGCUUGAGCUGGUCGCGCUCCCCUUUUACCCCGAAGACGUGCGUCCUUCACCUCCACAGCUUGUACUGCAGCAGUCUGAGCCGUGGGCGCAGCGGAGAGGAGUGUAGCAUUCUUGACCGCAGCCUCCACCUGACAUGCAAUAGUAACUGCCUUGUCCAAUGUAAGGUCCUCCUCCAGCAGUAAUUUAUCUUUAACAACACUGAGAGUAGCAUUAGCAACAAUAAGUUGAUCCCGAAUCGUCUCAC
Molecule: long non-coding RNA, 3137 nt
Filed under: Nothobranchius furzeri (turquoise killifish)
Lineage: Eukaryota; Metazoa; Chordata; Actinopteri; Cyprinodontiformes; Nothobranchiidae
Description: lncRNA (ENSNFUG00015002110.1)
Source: RNAcentral